RNAcentral lists this ribosomal RNA (1104 nucleotides) under Salmonella enterica subsp. enterica serovar Enteritidis. RNAcentral's name for it is "partial 23S ribosomal RNA". It matches the Rfam family "Bacterial large subunit ribosomal RNA", at positions 1 to 997 of the family's 2925-position model. The record is from RNAcentral. Lineage: Bacteria; Pseudomonadati; Pseudomonadota; Gammaproteobacteria; Enterobacterales; Enterobacteriaceae.
GGGUUGUGAGGUUAAGCGACUAAGCGUACACGGUGGAUGCCCUGGCAGUCAGAGGCGAUGAAGGGCGUGCUAAUCUGCGAUAAGCGCCGGUAAGGUGAUAUGAACCGUUAUAACCGGCGAUACCCGAAUGGGGAAACCCAGUGUGACUCGUCACACUAUCAUUAACUGAAUCCAUAGGUUAAUGAGGCGAACCGGGGGAACUGAAACAUCUAAGUACCCCGAGGAAAAGAAAUCAACCGAGAUUCCCCCAGUAGCGGCGAGCGAACGGGGAGGAGCCCAGAGCCUGAAUCAGCAUGUGUGUUAGUGGAAGCGUCUGGAAAGGCGCGCGAUACAGGGUGACAGCCCCGUACACAAAAGCGCAUGUGCUGUGAGCUCGAUGAGUAGGGCGGGACACGUGGUAUCCUGUCUGAAUAUGGGGGGACCAUCCUCCAAGGCUAAAUACUCCUGACUGACCGAUAGUGAACCAGUACCGUGAGGGAAAGGCGAAAAGAACCCCGGCGAGGGGAGUGAAAAAGAACCUGAAACCGUGUACGUACAAGCAGUGGGAGCCCCACCACCAAAGCAUUUGCUGUACCGCGUUGACGGAGCGAAGCGACGUCAAACCGAUAAAACAGCAGUGUAAAGUGAGCCGCAGGGCGCUUUGCGCGACAGCGCAAAGGCAGGCGGUUUCGCGUAGCGAAAGCGAAUGCUUUGGGGUGGGGUGACUGCGUACCUUUUGUAUAAUGGGUCAGCGACUUAUAUUCUGUAGCAAGGUUAACCGAAUAGGGGAGCCGGAGGGAAACCGAGUCUUAAUUGGGCGUUAAGUUGCAGGGUAUAGACCCGAAACCCGGUGAUCUAGCCAUGGGCAGGUUGAAGGUUGGGUAACACUAACUGGAGGACCGAACCGACUAAUGUUGAAAAAUUAGCGGAUGACCUGUGGCUGGGGGUGAAAGGCCAAUCAAACCGGGAGAUAGCUGGUUCUCCCCGAAAGCUAUUUAGGUAGCGCCUCGUGAAUUCAUCUCCGGGGGUAGAGCACUGUUUCGGCUAGGGGGCCAUCCCGGCUUACCAACCCGAUGCAAACUGCGAAUACCGGAGAAUGUUAUCACGGGAGACACACGGCGGGUG